Molecule: ribosomal RNA, 482 nt
Filed under: uncultured bacterium
Lineage: Bacteria
Description: partial 16S ribosomal RNA
Rfam family: Bacterial small subunit ribosomal RNA
Source: RNAcentral
AUUGAACGCUGGCGGCAUGCUUUACACAUGCAAGUCGAACGGUAACAGCACUUCGGUGGCUGACGAGUGGCGAACGGGUGAGUAAUACAUCGGAACGUGCCUAGUAGUGGGGGGUAACUACUCGAAAGAGUAGCUAAUACCGCAUGAGAUCUAAGGAUGAAAGCAGGGGACCUUCGGGCCUUGCGCUACUAGAGCGGCUGAUGGCAGAUUAGGUAGUUGGUGGGAUAAAAGCUUACCAAGCCGACGAUCUGUAGCUGGUCUGAGAGGACGACCAGCCACACUGGGACUGAGACACGGCCCAGACUCCUACGGGAGGCAGCAGUGGGGAAUUUUGGACAAUGGGCGCAAGCCUGAUCCAGCAAUGCCGCGUGCAGGAUGAAGGCCUUCGGGUUGUAAACUGCUUUUGUACGGAACGAAAAGCCCUCUUCUAAUACAGGAGGGUCAUGACGGUACCGUAAGAAUAAGCACCGGCUAACUACGUG